This 498-nucleotide ribosomal RNA is filed under the name uncultured eukaryote. RNAcentral describes it as "SSU rRNA". It matches the Rfam family "Eukaryotic small subunit ribosomal RNA", at positions 46 to 555 of the family's 1831-position model. The record is from RNAcentral.
AAGCCCUGCAUGUCUAAGUAUAAACUGUAUACUGUGAAACUGCGAAUGGCUCAUUAAAACAGUUAUAGUUUAUUUGAUAAUCUCUUCUACACGGAUAACCGUAGUAAUUCUAGAGCUAAUACAUGCUGUUAAACCUGACUCAUUGGAAAGGUUGUAUUUAUUAGAUAUCAAACCAAUACUCUUCGGAGUAUUGUGAUGAUUCAUAAUAACUGAUCGAAUCAAGGAAUUCCUUGAUAGAUCAUUCAAGUUUCUGCCCUAUCAGCUUUCGAUGGUAGUGUAUUGGACUACCAUGGCAGUCACGGGUAACGGAGAAUUAGGGUUCGAUUCCGGAGAGGGAGCCUGAGAAACGGCUACCACAUCUACGGAAGGCAGCAGGCGCGUAAAUUACCCAAUCCUGAUUCAGGGAGGUAGUGACAAGAAAUAACAACUCGGGGCCUCACGGCUUACGAGAUUGCAAUGAGAACAAUUUAAACCACUUAGCGAGGAACAAUUGGAGGG